Alexandromys fortis (reed vole) is the source of this 397-nucleotide long non-coding RNA. RefSeq lists it as uncharacterized. The record is from RefSeq and is a predicted model, not a curated record. The transcript has 3 exons. NCBI's taxonomy places the organism in Eukaryota, Metazoa, Chordata, Mammalia, Rodentia, Cricetidae.
CUGGCUGACAGCAUGCGCGGAUGUUACUGGAUAUUUGAAGACUGUUGGAGGGAAUCUUUCUGGGGGAGAAGAUGAAAGACUCCAGCUGAAGUCUGGAGAUGCAGACAUGGAUCCUCAUGCCUUGACCCCUGAAGUUCUGGGAUUAUGGUGUACACAACCAAGUCUGGCCAUCAGGACCUUCUUACGGAGAAAAAGAAAAAGGACCUAAGAAGGAAUUCCUUUCACUCACUGGACAAGUCCUCAGUGAGCUCCUAUAUACUCUGGGGGCAGAUUCUAGUCACCCUCAGAGAGCUCACGGGCCUGGACAAAGACAAAGAACAAAUGACCAAGCCACCUCAAAGUGGUGACACCGUGCAAACCUGAAGCCAUGCAGUUUGAAUAAAGCACAAAGUGUGAA